AUUGAACGCUGGCGGCAGGCCUAACACAUGCAAGUCGAACGGUAACAGGAAGAAGCUUGCUUCUUUGCUGACGAGUGGCGGACGGGUGAGUCAUGUCUGGGAAACUGCCUGAUGGAGGGGGAUAACUACUGGAAACGGUAGCUAAUACCGCAUAACGUCGCAAGACCAAAGAUGGGGACCUUCGGGCCUCUUGCCAUUGGAUGUUCCCAGAUGGGAUUAGCUAGUAGGUGGGGUAACGGCUCACCUAGGCGACGAUCCCUAGCUGGUCUGAGAGGAUGACCAGCCACACUGGAACUGAGACACGGUCCAGACUCCUACGGGAGGCAGCAGUGGGGAAUAUUGCGCAAUGGGCGCAAGCCUGAUGCAGCCAUGCCGCGUGUAUGAAGAAGGCCUUCGGGUUGUAAAGUACUUUCAGCGGGGAGGAAGGGAGGAAAGUUAAUACCUUUGCUCAUUGACGUUACCCGAAGAAGAAGCACCGGCUAACUCCGUG
This 490-nucleotide ribosomal RNA is filed under the name uncultured bacterium. RNAcentral's name for it is "partial 16S ribosomal RNA". It matches the Rfam family "Bacterial small subunit ribosomal RNA", at positions 30 to 507 of the family's 1533-position model. The record is from RNAcentral.